Molecule: ribosomal RNA, 458 nt
Filed under: uncultured bacterium
Lineage: Bacteria
Description: bacterial SSU rRNA
Rfam family: Bacterial small subunit ribosomal RNA
Source: RNAcentral
UACGGAAGGCAGCAGUGGGGAAUAUUGCACAAUGGGCGAAAGCCUGAUGCAGCUAUGCCGCGUGUAUGAAGAAGGCCUUAGGGUUGUAAAGUACUUUCAUCGGGGAGGAAAAAACAAAACUAAUAAUUUUAUUUCUUGACGUUACCCGAAAAAGAAGCACCGGCUAACUCCGUGCCAGCAGCCGCGGUAAUACGGAGGGUGCUAGCGUUAAUCAGAAUUACUGGGCGUAAAGAGCACGUAGGCGGUUUUUUUAAGUCAGAUGUGAAAUCCCUGGGCUUAACCUAGGAACUGCAUUUUGAAACUGAAAUACUAGAGUAUCGUAGAGGGAGGUAGAAUUCUAGGUGUAGCGGUGAAAUGCGUAGAUAUCUGGAGGAAUACCUGUGGCGAAAGCGGCCUCCUAAACGAAUACUGACACUGAGGGUGCGAAAGCGUGGGGAGCGAAACAGGGAUUAGAUACC